This 104-nucleotide small nuclear RNA is filed under the name Cervus elaphus hippelaphus. Lineage: Eukaryota; Metazoa; Chordata; Mammalia; Artiodactyla; Cervidae. RNAcentral also lists the same sequence under 1 other name. The record is from RNAcentral.
GUUCUCGCUUCGGCAGCACAUAUACUAAAAUUGGAACGAUACAGAGAUUAGCAUGGCCCCCGCACAAGGAUGACACACAGAUUCGUGAAGUGUUCCAUGUUUUU